Long non-coding RNA from Corvus hawaiiensis (hawaiian crow), 2463 nucleotides. RefSeq lists it as uncharacterized. The transcript has 4 exons. The record is from RefSeq and is a predicted model, not a curated record. Lineage: Eukaryota; Metazoa; Chordata; Aves; Passeriformes; Corvidae.
AUCAGCCUUCUGUAGAGUAUUUUGUUUCCUGCUAGCUGGGUAAAUCAGAAGAAAAGCACUGGGGAUCAUGAGCUUGUUCCUGUUAGACUUUGGAAAAUCAGAGUGAAUACUCUUCACUAAAACAGAAAUCCACAAGCAGCCAAGCUAUCUCCAUUCUGUGACUCACAACUAUUUCUUUGGAAGCAAUGUAUUACUUUAGGAGACUGAGUUUGUAUUUUUCUGAAUUAUAGAUGUACAACUGAUUGUAGAAUUCACUCUGCUAAAGCAAUGGCAAAAUUGUGAUAACUGUUCUGUAUCCCUGGGUUUUCACAGUCCUGCUGGACUGUGUGGCUGUCUGGCAGAAUAGGAUUUGUUCUCACUUGCUGGGGUUCUGAAAGUUCUUCAUCACAUGUACGUGCACACAAAAAAAAUGCCAAUUUGUAAUGAACUUAAUGCAGAAGUUCUGACAGCUGAUGAACUGUGUGGUUUUAUACACCAGGAAACCAGAGAGUGGAAAGAUGGCAAGAGACAUGUGUUCUUGCUAGGAUGUCAUUUUCCAUCCAAAAUGGACAAUACCAGAAUUCAGAGAAUGUGUCUCCUGUCAUCUUCUCUGAGAGGAUGACCCAAUAUUACCCAGGAGGGGCCAAAAAGGUUUGGUUUAAACAGGUUCUGACCCUUACAAACAAUUAAUGUGUGCCUAUGACUCUGUCAACGUGGCUGCUAUUUGAGGUACACAUUUAAAAGCUGCUGCCCCAGCCACUAUAUCCAGAGCUGGUAUUCUUCACCUGAACACCCAGGACCUGGGAUGGAACCCAUGAGUAUCUGAUGAUAUUGGUUGGCAUUUUUAACAUCCUUCUUGCAGAUUAAUUGCAACAAACUCCAUUAUAUAUAUAUUAAGUCUUCCUUAUAAUUUUUAUUCUGUUAAUGUAUUAUUUAUUUGGUGCCUACAUAUAUUCUCAAAUAGGCAUUUUUAAGAAUUUUGCCGGUUAAGUGGUUUUUUUUCCUCUCUUACAUAUACUGCUUAAUCAGAGCAGUAGUGUGGAGGGUUGACCCUGACUGAAUGCCAGGUGCCAACCAAGCCAUUAUUACUCCUCCUCAGCUGGACAGUGGAGAGAAAAAUAUGAUGAAAGACUCUUGGGUCAAGAUAAGGACAAGGAAAUCAAAUACUCAGCACACUCUCAUGGGCACAACAGACUCAACUUGGGGAAAUUAUUUUUAUUUAUUACCAGUCAAAUCAGAAUAGGGUAGUGGGAAAAAAAAACCCCAGUGUUAAAGAUACCUUCCUUCCACUCCUACCUCCUUCCCAGUUCAACUUCACUCCCAGUUUUCUCUACCUCUUCCCCCCAUUAGCUCAGGGGGAUGGGAAAUGGGGUUGCAGUCAGCUCAUCCUAGUCUCUGCUCCUUCUUCCCUCUCAGGGGAAGUACUCCUCACACUCUUCCCCUCCCUGCUCCAUCACAGUCCCUCCCAUGGCAGACAGGCCUCCAAGAACUUCUCCAACUUGAGUCCUUCCCUCGGGCUGCAGUUCUUCAUAAACUGCUCCAGUGUGUGUCCCCCAUGAGGUUACAAGUCUUGCCAGCAAACCUGCUCCAGCAUGGGCUCCUCUCUACACAGGUUCACAGGUCCUCCCAGGAGCCUGCCCAAGCACAGUCUUCACACAGGAUUUCAGCCUUCUUUGGGCAUCUACCUACUUUUGUGUGAGGUACCUUUUUUCCAUAAUAAGAGAAACUCAGGCUCCAAGUCCAUGUAAAUAAUUGAAAAUAAUGUCCACAGCAACUGUACACCACAAAUUGAAGCCUUAACAUUUUCCUAUGGCCACAUUUAUGCACAGAUCAUUUUUUUGCCAGCUAAAUUAUCUUCACACAAAGUAUGUGAGUUCUAGAGGCAGCAAAUCACUUCAUCACCUUUCCACUAUGCUGUUGAACAACUUAUAAAGUUAGAGUUAUAUUUGUGGAAGACAAGUUGUAGAAGUUAUGAUAGUAUGAUAUAUACCUGUCAGUGGAGGAAUAGAAAGCAUGAGCUGGGAGCUGUAAUUGCCUCUGUUUGAAGGUUUGGUUAUUUUUGCACUUUUUUUCAGUGUGCUCUGCAUAGGAUAUUCUCAAGUACUUAAUGUUAUUUUGAUUGCAUUAACUCGUAUUGCACAACUUUUUAAUGCUUAGAUGAGAAGGAAUUUUCCUGGGGAGAUUAGAAGUCUAUGGACAUAGAGACAUGGAGGCGAUGAUCAAAAGAUAUGAUCCAUUUUCAAAUCUCUUGUUGUCUUUGAGGGUUAACAUUUGAUAGGAAAAUACAGAGCUUGGAAAAGAAAGAUUUAUCAGGCAAGGAAACUUUUAGGUGCUCACAGUAGUUAAAGCUAUUUAUUGCCAACUGUUUGUCCAAAUGGUUUUAGGUAUGGUGAAAGCUAGGCCAAAAAUUAAAUUGAAAUAAUUGAGAAAUUAAACCAACUACAUCUUGCACCAGUCUUUGCUUCUCUAACAGUUAUAGGGCUA